Dromaius novaehollandiae (emu) is the source of this 3834-nucleotide long non-coding RNA. RefSeq lists it as uncharacterized. The record is from RefSeq and is a predicted model, not a curated record. The transcript has 6 exons. Lineage: Eukaryota; Metazoa; Chordata; Aves; Casuariiformes; Dromaiidae.
GCCCCGCCGGCACCGUGGAGGUACCGGGCGCGGCGCGGGGAUCCCCCCGGGGAGGCCGCGCACCCCGCGGGCGGGGCCCCGCGCAGAGCCGCCGCUGCGCUCCGCGGCCGCGCCCCGACGUCCCCCCGCUUCGGCCCCCCCGGUUUCGUUUCGCGACGGAUCGUUGGGCUCCAGAGAAGAAGGCUACUGGAAAAACCUGCUGCACAAACCUUUGGUUAAACUACGGAUUUAUUGUCUGCUCUGAAUAUCUGGUAUUUUCGGAGACUCCUCCAGAAUUUGCAAUUUAUCUCGGAGCACAAAUCAGUGCCCUGUUCCCUCCGAAAGCUUUCCCCAGUGUUUUCCACAGUGCUCAAGUGAAUUAGGAGCCCAAAUCCUGUUUUCAAAAGUGAGGGACGGCAAAAUCCAGAACCGGAGCGAGGCAGCGCAAGAGCAGCCUCCCGCCGCUCCGGUUUCGUGCCCCGAGCAGAGCCCCGGGAGCAGGAGCAGAGCCGCCAGCGGCCUAGCUCGGCUGCUGCGAAGGCCGCGCGGGCCGGGGAGGCCUCCCCCGACGGCUGCUCGUGCGUUUGCAGCGUCAACUCGUCCCGAGCAAGUCUCCUUAGUCACAUCAGACCCUUCUCCAAAAGACCCGGGAAUGGGAGGUCUGGUGAACAAAUGUGCCUUCAAGAAGGAACUGGGGUCCCCGAUGCUGCCGGAUUUCAGGUGAAACAUCUGAACUCAGGCACAGCUCCUGCAUCUUCCUCCAGACUCGAGCCUCAGUAGACAACGAGCGAUGACAGCACCGCUGUUCACACAUGCAUGGGCAGGUUCAGGCCCACAGUGACUACCUGGUUAAGCCGUGAAAUGGUCGUCUUGAGCCUGAUGGUGUGGUUUCACACUUUGAAGAGUCUAGAGGAAUCCUUGGACUUCAUCUUCUACUGCGCACCUUAGGGUGAGCAAGCACAGUUUUGUUAUAGCAGUCCCUUCUCGUACAGCACCUUAACAAACGAAGACCAGAAGUUCCUCUUGAUCUGCACACAAGGAUGGGCACAGGCUGAAACCUAAAUGCAGCUCCAUGGAACUACCAUGCCUGGUUCUGGGAAGCAAAAUAUCAUUGGUACUGUGUAUUUGAUUCUUCAAUGAAAAAUUAUUUCUGUGAAAAGCAGAAAUGUAAUUUUAAAUUUUUAAUCUAAAUCCCGACUUUCAAAGAAAAAGGCUUUAGAACAGAAUAUUUUUCUUCCCUAUCUAUUUUUGAAUAAACUGGUGAUUGUAAACCAUAGUUCUGCAGUGAUUAACACAGGAUCUGCCCACCACCAGAGUGCCCAUUUGCACAUUUGAUUUAGAUAAUUUUUCCUUCAAAUUAGGCUAUGAUAUUAAAUUCUCUGUUUUAUGCCAGCAAUCUACUGACAAAGGUUUGAAAAUCCAGAUCUUGCUUUUAAUAUACUUUUAAGAUUAGAGGUCCAAGAAAGGUGCACGCAAGAUUAAAGAGCAAUGAAAUAUUGAUCUUAUUUUUACUUUUCAGAUUGUAAAAAGUAGCUUUAAAACGGUAUCUCAUAAGGAAAGAAAAAUUAUUAAUCACCUUGGCAUUGCAUAGACACAAUCUCCAACACAACUCUGGAAACAAAGAGCAAUUACUCUAAACACAGAAGUGGAAGGAGGAUUGUAACGGUAAGACUGGCAUUCAGGUACUGGGUUUGGUUCGGAGUUCUCCCAGGAGCUUCCAGUCAGACUGGAAACAAAUCAGUGAAGAUCAGAAGAGACCUACCUAUCCAACGGAGCUAUAUGAUACCUAUGCAAGGCUCCUUAGCAUGGGAAAAUACAAACCUGCACCAGAAAAAGCUAUGUCUUUUCCUCUUCCAUCAUCACGGAUUUUUUUGUUCCAUGUGGAGGCACAAAACUUGCCCCGGUUUGAGAAGAAGAUUGCAGACAGCUACAAACCUCCAGCGCCGUGGCACAUUUUGACUGCUAAGCAGGAUCUCUUCACGAUACUCAGCGGGGUGCUCCAGGAGAUGCGCGCACAGCUCACCAGACCUCACAGCACCCCUGCGCUGCCUGCCCCGAGCUGAGAAGUGACCUUGGCAGGGUGCUCCCCCCACAAGAUCACCGUGUCCUCGGAGCAGACACGCGAUCUGCAGCAGCCUCCUUUUGCAGUUGUACCUGUUUGCCCACAUUUCUCUGCUCCCCAAGGCUAAGCUGCCCUGCUUGCAAGCUGUCAGCUUUCAAACCAUCCUCCUCAGUUCCUGCUAGAAAGCUGAAAACAUAUAACAAGCAAAUGGGGGUGUACAACAUUAUAAUUGCAAAUAUUUCAGCUUUGUUUUCAUCUCAACGAAAAGAGGUUUGGAGUGAAAGGAGAAAGAAGGCUUGCCAAUGCAUGAAGUUUUAUGGGCUUAUGUCCCAAAAUUAUAGGAUCUAAGUCAGUCAGUUAGGAGCUACAUCAAUGCUUUAAAUGCAACUUAAAAACAAAGGAAUUCCCAAAUAGAAAAUAAUUCAUUUCUUUAGUAAAUAACUAACACUAGAACAGAUAAUAUCAAAAUUGCUGUAAUUAACGUCCCUGUAAAAUGAAAAAGUGAUGGAAAUGAAAGUAGUAUAAUGUCCAUACCUUAGUAGAAAUGUGUUCAUUUAUACAUUAGUCUAAAACUACAGCCAAAGGUAAAGGACAAUUAGAUGGUUUGUUAAGUGAAACACUUGAAAGUGAAGAAAGUCAGGUUGCCUAUGACCUCAUAAAUUAUUUUUAAACCUUUUCUAUUCACUUAAUUAUAAAGAUAAUAGUUCAGAAUGACUUUUAAGGAUCCCUGAGGUAGACUGAAUUGUCAGCUCCCCUGCUUUUGUCACAAUCUUGUUCUUUUUUCCCUUGAAUUUCCCAUCUCAUGUAUUCAAGAACCAUGUGUGAACUUCAGUUGUCCUUCUUCUCCUUUUACUGACUACAGGUAAAAUUUUGAGAGUUGGAAACCAAAAGGUAAAACUUUAAAAUAUCCUAAUUCAUUAUUUCCAAAAACCUUUUAAAUUAUAAGAUAAUUUUUUUGAGACACAGUUUGUGCUGUUUCGAGAUGAGCACCACCUUAAGCACUAGGAGUGUUAGGUACUGUGGGCACUAUGCAGGUACCAGGAUUAAAAGGUUGAUUUUUAUCCCUGAUUUUUCAGUGUGGCAAGUAUCUCUAACUUCUAUUAACUUAGUAAGCUUAUAAAUGAAGUCUGAAGUAAUGUAUUCAUUUCAAAGGAAUACAGGCUCUUGAUGUAGCAAGACACAUUAAGCCUAUAUUAAUACUGAGACUCUUACAUCAAGAUAGCUAACUGGAGAGCAGCAACCUUGUAAAAAAAACCCUAGUAUUUGCAAGGAAGGCAUAUACAGUAAGGUCAAGAUGGGAACUCAGAUCCCCUGAGGCACUAGACAAGGCUGCUUGCAAGCAAUUCAAGCUAAAAGAUCUGUACUUCUCUCACCAGCCCCUAAGAUGAAGCUUUACAAACUGCCAAGUCAAAUCUUUCCAAACAAGCAACAAGUUAAGUUCAAGGGAACAGAAAUGAUCUGUAUUUUAAAUGCUUGAUAGCUCCAAUAACCUCUGAAUAACUUAGCUUGCAUUCUGGGAUCACUUUUCUGCAAGGGGGUGAAGUUGCAAACAGUAUAAAUUAAAAGUGGUAAAAAUAUUUAUUGGCAAGCAAAGUUUUUAGGAGCACAAUUUUAUAUGUCUCUGUUUGCAUAGCUUCAGCUUAAAUGGGGUAAUAUUAAUACCACAAGAAGGUCUGUUUACAUGCUGCUCCAAGAAUUUUCUUGCAAAAGAAAAAAACGCUCGCCUUUGCCAUUAUUCUUUAUGACCACAAAUCCUGUUUACCUUGAAAAAUUAAAGUCUCUUUUUAUGUUUA